CAGAAUACCAAGAGCUUGUGGCAUUGCCUAAGUGACUGAUGGCCACACACUUCUCUGCAGGGGGCUGUGGGAGGCUGUAGCUGUGACAGGAGCCAGGGGCCCAGGAGGUGUGGAAGUCAUCACCCACCAGGUAACUGGUUCCAGACCUGUCUGUAAAUGCCUCACUGCCCCACAAAUACCACAUAUGAAUAGCCAUUGAAAACACAGGAAAGAGGAAUGCCCAUGACUUUCUAGCACUGUUGUGUAUAGAAUCUAAAACAAGCAAACAGAAGAAUGGAGAAUGACAGUUGGGUUCUGAAAAUGUAAUAACAUGAUAUUUGCAAUUUCAAAAGUAUUUUGCAUUCUGAACCAUGGAUUGCAAACCUUGGAAAUUGGUAUUGAUGCCUUCUCCUCCUCCUCAUGCUGCUGCUGCUCCUGCUGCUGCUGCUGCUGAUGAUGAUGAUGAUGACGACUACAACGAUUGAUGAUGAUGACAACGAUGAUGAUGUUGCUGCUGGUGGUGAUGUUGCUGAUGCCUACUUGGAGUAUGAGUCUGCUUCUCCAAGUUAAAGGGCACAUAGCCGAACAGGGAUCUGUUCUGCCAACAAUCCUGAAAAAUCAUCUGCCGAGUGUCACCUGAAUAACAGUGCAAUCUGUGUGAACCAUGGUGCUCUUGCCAAUUACCACCAUGCAGCCUGUGAGUCAUCUAAGGAGAAAGCAGUCAUGGA
Molecule: long non-coding RNA, 707 nt
Filed under: Mus spicilegus (steppe mouse)
Lineage: Eukaryota; Metazoa; Chordata; Mammalia; Rodentia; Muridae
Description: lncRNA (ENSMSIG00000012222.1)
Source: RNAcentral